RNAcentral lists this microRNA precursor (192 nucleotides) under Oryza brachyantha (malo sina). Its description in RNAcentral is "MIR812 microRNA precursor family". It matches the Rfam family "MIR812 microRNA precursor family". The record is from Rfam by way of RNAcentral. Lineage: Eukaryota; Viridiplantae; Streptophyta; Magnoliopsida; Poales; Poaceae.
AUUAAGUCUAUUUUUUAGUUUUUAGAUACAGUAUUUUGACUUUUUGUCUUAUUUGAAACUUUUUGCGAUUAAUAUUUUUAUUGAUACUGGAUGGUAAAAUAUGAAUAAUACUUUAUGCAUUACUAGUUUUUUUAAGUUUUUGUACAAAAUUUUCAAAUAAGACGAAUGGUCAAACGGUUAGACACAGAAAUC